UACGUAGGUGGCGAGCGUUGUCCGGAUUUACUGGGUGUAAAGGGCGUGUAGGCGGGUAAUUAAGUUAGGUGUGAAAUACUGCGGCUCAACCGCAGGGCUGCAUCUAAAACUAAUUAUCUUGAGUGCCAGAGAGGAAAGCGGAAUUCCUAGUGUAGCGGUGAAAUGCGUAGAUAUUAGGAGGAACACCAGUGGCGAAGGCGGCUUUCUGGACUGUAACUGACACUGAGGCAUGAAAGCGUGGGUAGCAAACAGG
This 253-nucleotide ribosomal RNA is filed under the name uncultured bacterium. RNAcentral describes it as "partial 16S ribosomal RNA". It matches the Rfam family "Bacterial small subunit ribosomal RNA", at positions 524 to 776 of the family's 1533-position model. The record is from RNAcentral.